UUGGAGGGCAAGUCUGGUGCCAGCAGCCGCGGUAAUUCCAGCUCCAAUAGCGUAUAUUAAAGUUGUUGCAGUUAAAAAGCUCGUAGUUGAAUUUCGGGGUUAGUAGGUCGGUCAUGCCUCAGGUAUGCACUGGUCUCACUGAUUCCUCCUUCCUGAUGAGCCGUAAUGCCAUUAAUUUGGUGUUGCGGGGAAUCUGGACUGUUACUUUGAAAAAAUUAGAGUGUUUAAAGCAGGCUAACGCUUGAAUACAUUAGCAUGGAAUAAUGGAAUAGGACGUUCGAUCCUAUUUUGUUGGUUUCUAGGAUUGACGUAAUGAUUAAUAGGGAUAGUUGGGGGCAUUAGUAUUCAAUUGUCAGAGGUGAAAUUCUUGGAUUUAUUGAAGACUAACUACUGCGAAAGCAUUUGCCAAGGAUGUUUUCAUUAAUCAAGAACGAAAGUUAGGGGAUCGAAGACGAUCAGAUACCGUCGUAGUCUUAACCAUAAACUAUGCCGACUAGGGAUCGGCAUGAUGUGAA
RNAcentral lists this ribosomal RNA (515 nucleotides) under uncultured Glomus. Its description in RNAcentral is "SSU rRNA". It matches the Rfam family "Eukaryotic small subunit ribosomal RNA", at positions 548 to 1067 of the family's 1831-position model. The record is from RNAcentral. Lineage: Eukaryota; Fungi; Glomeromycota; Glomeromycetes; Glomerales; Glomeraceae.